RNAcentral lists this ribosomal RNA (293 nucleotides) under uncultured eukaryote. RNAcentral's name for it is "partial 18S ribosomal RNA". It matches the Rfam family "Eukaryotic small subunit ribosomal RNA", at positions 6 to 294 of the family's 1831-position model. The record is from RNAcentral.
GGUUGAUCCUGCCAGUAGUCAUAUGCUUGUCUCAAAGAUUAAGCCAUGCAUGUCUAAGUAUAAACAUCUUUAUACGUGAAACUGCGGACGGCUCAUUAAAUCAGUAAUUAUUUAUUUGAUGGUUCCUUACUACAUGGAUAUCUGUAGUAAUUCUAGAGCUAAUACAUGCGUAAAGUCCUUGUCCCUUGUGGAGAGGAUGUAUUUAUUAGAUAAAAAACUAACCUGGGUUCUGCUCAGUUUGUUGGUGACUCAUAGUAACUGUUCGAAUCGCAUGGCCUUGUGCUGGCGAUAGU